Non-coding RNA from Anguilla anguilla (European eel), 632 nucleotides. Lineage: Eukaryota; Metazoa; Chordata; Actinopteri; Anguilliformes; Anguillidae. The record is from the annotation of a RefSeq genome assembly.
UUCCUAAGGCUACACAUGUCUGACGGAUCAACAGUGUGCACAACAGGUGACACAGUCCCCGCCCUCACAGUCCUGCCCCCCUCCAGUGUGGAGGUGAAGCAGGGGAAGGCCACACUGGUGUGUCUGGCAAACAAGGGCUUCCCGUCAGACUGGACUCUGCGCUGGAAAGUGGACGGUACCAGUAGGAGCUCGGGCGUGGCCGGGAGCGCCGGGGUCCUGGGGAAGGAUGGCCUGUACAGCUGGAGCAGCUCCCUGACUCUCAGUGCGGACGACUGGAUGAAGGCGGGGUCACUGACCUGUGAGGCCACAAAGGGCUCCCAGGCUGCCCCCCCUCAGACACUGAGGAGAGCUGACUGUGCUGAGUAGGGCGGGUGCAGGCCCAGCUCACACACUCUGAUCACACUGUGUUUACCCUGCUCUGCUCUCAGCCUCUCUGCUCCUUGCUGCUGCACACUGAGCUGGGCCUGUGUGUGAAUCCUUCCUCCAGCCUGAGCUGUCACUGCUAAUGUCUCAUACGUGCUCUGCUUGUGUCCUCACAAAUAUGCAUAUCUGCCUUCUUAUUUGUGUUUGUGUGAUUUUGGCAAGAGCUGUUAGAUAAAAAUCAUUGAAAUAAUAAAGAUUCUUUGAAAAGU